UGGGGAAUAUUGCACAAUGGGCGCAAGCCUGAUGCAGCCAUGCCGCGUGUAUGAAGAAGGCCUUCGGGUUGUAAAGUACUUUCAGCGGGGAGGAAGGGAGUAAAGUUAAUACCUUUGCUCAUUGACGUUACCCGCAGAAGAAGCACCGGCUAACUCCGUGCCAGCAGCCUCGGUAAUACGGAGGGUGCAAGCGUUAAUCGGAAUUACUGGGCGUAAAGCGCACGCAGGCGGUUUGUUAAGUCAGAUGUGAAAUCCCCGGGCUCAACCUGGGAACUGCAUCUGAUACUGGCAAGCUUGAGUCUCGUAGAGGGGGGUAGAAUUCCAGGUGUAGCGGUGAAAUGCGUAGAGAUCUGGAGGAAUACCGGUGGCGAAGGCGGCCCCCUGGACGAAGACUGACGCUCAGGUGCGAAAGCGUGGGGAGCAAACAGG
Molecule: ribosomal RNA, 429 nt
Filed under: Chloroflexota bacterium
Lineage: Bacteria; Bacillati; Chloroflexota
Description: Chloroflexi bacterium partial 16S ribosomal RNA
Rfam family: Bacterial small subunit ribosomal RNA
Source: RNAcentral